GUAACACGUGAGCAAUCUGCCCUUGACUCUGGGAUAACUGCGGGAAACUGUAGCUAAUACCGGAUACGACACCUUGGGGCAUCCCAGGGUGUGGAAAGAAUUUCGGUCAAGGAUGAGCUCGCGGCCUAUCAGCUAGUUGGUGAGGUAAUGGCUCACCAAGGCGACGACGGGUAGCCGGCCUGAGAGGGUGACCGGCCACACUGGAACUGAGAUACGGUCCAGACUCCUACGGGAGGCAGCAGUGGGGAAUAUUGCACAAUGGGCGCAAGCCUGAUGCAGCAACGCCGCGUGAGGGAUGAAGGCCUUCGGGUUGUAAACCUCUUUUAGCAGGGAAGAAGCGAAAGUGACGGUACCUGCAGAAAAAGCACCGGCUAACUACGUGCCAGCAGCCGCGGUAAUACGUAGGGUGCAAGCGUUGUCCGGAAUUAUUGGGCGUAAAGAGCUCGUAGGCGGUUUGUCGCGUCUGCUGUGAAAAUCCAAGGCUCAACCUUGGACCUGCAGUGGGUACGGGCAGACUAGAGUGCGGUAGGGGAGAUGGGGAUUCCUGGUGUAGCGGUGGAAUGCGCAGAUAUCAGGAGGAACACCAAUGGCGAAGGCACAUCUCUGGGCCGUAACUGACGCUGAGGAG
This 628-nucleotide ribosomal RNA is filed under the name uncultured bacterium. Its description in RNAcentral is "bacterial SSU rRNA". It matches the Rfam family "Bacterial small subunit ribosomal RNA", at positions 110 to 753 of the family's 1533-position model. The record is from RNAcentral.